UCUGAAGCGCUUUGGGAGAGCUGAGAUCCAUCCCAUGGAAACCAUCCUCAACUUCUUCAGCCAGAGUUGGCACCCCCAGGGGAUAACGCUCGCCAGAUGCUGGUAUCAUGCUCUUGGAAUUCCCAGUCUCCAGAACUGAGAAAAUACACACAACUAGGUCAGGCAGAAUGUCCGCUUCUAUAUCAUCAGGAUUCAGCCAAUAAUUCUGGAGCCCCUACUGGCUGACUAAUACUAGGCCCUUUGGGAAUUGCAAAGAUGAAUAAGGUAACUCCUCUGUCUCAAGAAGCUUUCAAGAGAUUGGGCAAGUGAUGAUCAGCAAGCUAGUCUGAGAGAAGAGAGAGUAUCUAGAACAAGAUAUACCCAUGAGCCAAUAGGAGACUCUACCUGUGCAUUGCCUUUGGAAGGGAACUUCUGGGGUCUCUUUACAGAGGAAGUGUUGGGUCAGAUACUUGUGCAUUAGGAAGAAGAGCAAAAAAAAUGGCACUCACAUCUGGAGAUUUUGUCCAAAUCCAUCCCAAAGCUUCACCACUAAUAAAGGCAAA
Molecule: long non-coding RNA, 542 nt
Filed under: Homo sapiens (human)
Lineage: Eukaryota; Metazoa; Chordata; Mammalia; Primates; Hominidae
Description: HSALNT0354355
Source: RNAcentral